UGGGUGAAAGCCUGAUCCAGCAAUGCCGCGUGAGUGAUGAAGGCCUUAGGGUUGUAAAGCUCUUUUACCCGGGAUGAUAAUGACAGUACCGGGAGAAUAAGCUCCGGCUAACUCCGUGCCAGCAGCCGCGAUAAU
This 135-nucleotide ribosomal RNA is filed under the name Sphingopyxis sp. 18(shui). RNAcentral's name for it is "partial 16S ribosomal RNA". It matches the Rfam family "Bacterial small subunit ribosomal RNA", at positions 372 to 524 of the family's 1533-position model. The record is from RNAcentral. Lineage: Bacteria; Pseudomonadati; Pseudomonadota; Alphaproteobacteria; Sphingomonadales; Sphingopyxidaceae.